RNAcentral lists this ribosomal RNA (253 nucleotides) under uncultured bacterium. Its description in RNAcentral is "partial 16S ribosomal RNA". It matches the Rfam family "Bacterial small subunit ribosomal RNA", at positions 524 to 776 of the family's 1533-position model. The record is from RNAcentral.
UACGGAGGAUCCAAGCGUUAUCCGGAAUCAUUGGGUUUAAAGGGUCCGUAGGCGGUUUUAUAAGUCAGUGGUGAAAUCCGGCAGCUCAACUGUCGAACUGCCAUUGAUACUGUAGAACUUGAAUUACUGUGAAGUAACUAGAAUAUGUAGUGUAGCGGUGAAAUGCUUAGAUAUUACAUGGAAUACCAAUUGCGAAGGCAGGUUACUAACAUUAUAUUGACGCUGAUGGACGAAAGCGUGGGGAGCGAACAGG